This 506-nucleotide ribosomal RNA is filed under the name uncultured bacterium. RNAcentral describes it as "partial 16S ribosomal RNA". It matches the Rfam family "Bacterial small subunit ribosomal RNA", at positions 30 to 523 of the family's 1533-position model. The record is from RNAcentral.
AUUGAACGCUGGCGGCAGGCCUAACACAUGCAAGUCGAACGGCAGCACAGAAGAGCUUGCUCUUUGGGUGGCGAGUGGCGGACGGGUGAGUAAUGUCUGGGAAACUGCCCGAUGGAGGGGGAUAACUACUGGAAACGGUAGCUAAUACCGCAUAACGUCGCAAGACCAAAGUGGGGGACCUUCGGGCCUCACACCAUCGGAUGUGCCCAGAUGGGAUUAGCUAGUAGAUGGGGUAAUGGCUCACCUAGGCGACGAUCCCUAGCUGGUCUGAGAGGAUGACCAGCCACACUGGAACUGAGACACGGUCCAGACUCCUACGGGAGGCAGCAGUGGGGAAUAUUGCACAAUGGGCGCAAGCCUGAUGCAGCCAUGCCGCGUGUAUGAAGAAGGCCUUCGGGUUGUAAAGUACUUUCAGCGGGGAGGAAGGCGGUGAGGUUAAUAACCUCGCCGAUUGACGUUACCCGCAGAAGAAGCACCGGCUAACUCCGUGCCAGCAGCCGCAGUAA